GAGUUUGAUUCUGGCUCAGAACGAACGCUGGCGGCGCGUCUUAAGCAUGCAAGUCGAACGGCAAGAGAGAAGCUUGCUUCUCUCCUAGAGUGGCGGACUGGUGAGGAACGCGUGGGUAAUCUGCCCUUAAGAUGGGGAUAGCCGUUAGAAAUAGCGGGUAAUACCGAAUACACUCACUUUCCCACAAGCGGAAGUGAGGAAAGGAAGCUAAGGCUUCGCUUAAGGAUGAGCCUGCGUCCCAUUAGCUUGUUGGUAAGGUAACGGCUUACCAAGGCGACGAUGGGUAUCCGGCCUGAGAGGGUGAACGGACACAUUGGGACUGAGAUACGGCCCAAACUCCUACGGGAGGCAGCAGCUAAGAAUAUUCCGCAAUGGACGGAAGUCUGACGGAGCGACGCCGCGUGGAUGAAGAAGGCUGAAAAGUUGUAAAAUCCUUUUGCCGAUGAAGAAUAAUGGUAAGAGGGAAUGCUUAUCAGAUGA
This 480-nucleotide ribosomal RNA is filed under the name Treponema sp. canine oral taxon 359. RNAcentral describes it as "bacterial SSU rRNA". It matches the Rfam family "Bacterial small subunit ribosomal RNA", at positions 9 to 472 of the family's 1533-position model. Lineage: Bacteria; Pseudomonadati; Spirochaetota; Spirochaetia; Treponematales; Treponemataceae. The record is from RNAcentral.